Molecule: long non-coding RNA, 256 nt
Organism: Chelonia mydas (Green sea turtle)
Lineage: Eukaryota; Metazoa; Chordata; Testudines; Cheloniidae
Exons: 3
Source: RefSeq, a predicted model, not a curated record
UUUCCACUGAUGAGGCAGAGGUAGGGACAAGCACAGACAAAAGAUUCCUGCCUUGUGCCAAAGCUAUAAAAGGGGGUGGAGCAGGACAAAAGAGGCAGCCAGUCAUGAAAAAAACCCUGCUUACCACCGGAGAUGUCUGCUGGAAUUAACAAAGACUGUACCAGGGGAAAGGAUUGGGCCCAGACUAGGAAGGAGUCUAGUCUGUGAAAGAAGCUUAUUGGAACAUCUUUGAGGGUGAUAUCUAGGAAAAAGUUAA